UAACGACUCUCGGCAACGGAUAUCUCGGCUCUCCCAUCGAUGAAGAACGUAGCGAAAUGCGAUACUUGGUGUGAAUUGCAGAAUCCCGUGAACCACCGAGUCUUUGAACGCAAGUUGCGCCCGAAGCCAUUAGGCCGAGGGCACGUCUGCCUGGGCGUCUCACA
This 164-nucleotide ribosomal RNA is filed under the name Pleioluma crebrifolia. RNAcentral describes it as "5.8S ribosomal RNA". It matches the Rfam family "5.8S ribosomal RNA". From Rfam's summary of the family: 5.8S ribosomal RNA (5.8S rRNA) is a component of the large subunit of the eukaryotic ribosome. It is transcribed by RNA polymerase I as part of the 45S precursor that also contains 18S and 28S rRNA. Lineage: Eukaryota; Viridiplantae; Streptophyta; Magnoliopsida; Ericales; Sapotaceae. The record is from RNAcentral.